CGAUGAAGGGGGAGCUUGCUCUCCUGGAUUAGUGGCGAACGGGUGAGUAACACGUGAGCAAUCUGCCCUUGACUCUGGGAUAAGCGCUGGAAACGGCGUCUAAUACCGGAUACGAGCUGCGAAGGCAUCUUCAGCAGCUGGAAAGAACUUCGGUCAAGGAUGAGCUCGCGGCCUAUCAGCUUGUUGGUGAGGUAAUGGCUCACCAAGGCGACGACGGGUAGCCGGCCUGAGAGGGUGACCGGCCACACUGGGACUGAGACACGGCCCAGACUCCUACGGGAGGCAGCAGUGGGGAAUAUUGCACAAUGGGCGCAAGCCUGAUGCAGCAACGCCGCGUGAGGGAUGACGGCCUUCGGGUUGUAAACCUCUUUUAGCAGGGAAGAAGCGAGAGUGACGGUACCUGCAGAAAAAGCACCGGCUAACUACGUGCCAGCAGCCGCGGUAAUACGUAGGGUGCGAGCGUUAUCCGGAAUUAUUGGGCGUAAAGAGCUCGUAGGCGGUCUGUCGCGUCUGCUGUGAAAACCCGAGGCUCAACCUCGGGCUUGCAGUGGGUACGGGCAGACUAGAGUGCGGUAGGGGAGAUUGGAAUUCCUGGUGUAGCGGUGGAAUGCGCAGAUAUCAGGAGGAACACCGAUGGCGAAGGCAGAUCUCUGGGCCGUUACUGACGCUGAGGAGCGAAAGCGUGGGGAGCAAACAGGCUUAGAUACCCUGGUAGUCCACGCCGUAAACGUUGGGAACUAGAUGUGGGGACCAUUCCACGGUCUCCGUGUCGUAGCUAACGCAUUAAGUUCCCCGCCUGGGGAGUAC
RNAcentral lists this ribosomal RNA (807 nucleotides) under Agrococcus sp. Its description in RNAcentral is "bacterial SSU rRNA". It matches the Rfam family "Bacterial small subunit ribosomal RNA", at positions 67 to 883 of the family's 1533-position model. Lineage: Bacteria; Bacillati; Actinomycetota; Actinomycetes; Micrococcales; Microbacteriaceae. The record is from RNAcentral.